Long non-coding RNA from Rosa chinensis, 415 nucleotides. RefSeq lists it as uncharacterized. The transcript has 3 exons. The record is from RefSeq and is a predicted model, not a curated record. Lineage: Eukaryota; Viridiplantae; Streptophyta; Magnoliopsida; Rosales; Rosaceae.
AAAACUUCCUUUGCUACACACUUGUUUCUCAAACCCUAAAAUCACAUCUUUCUUCCUCCUCUCUCACUACAGCAAUGAAGAAUUGAAAAGUUGAGAAGCUUCUUGAUUGAUUGGGUAAUGAUUAAAGAGUGAAGUGAAGUCGGAUUCAUUGUUGAUUUGUUCUUUCGGUGUGGUGCAGCAAGCAAAAGCAAAAUUAGGACAAUAUUGCAACAGAUUCAAGUGCACACCAUGAUGAAGAUGGUACUGAUGAAGAUGGUGAUGAAGAUGUUGCUGAUGAAUAUGAUGCAAACUCUAAUGAGGACUUUUAUUAGAUAUAUUGUUAGCUUCCUUGCUUAAGAAUGAUUAUAUUAUAAAGACCAAAUAUUGAAUAUUUAUCUUUAUCUGACCAUGUAUGAAUGAUUAACUAUGUUUCAUC